RNAcentral lists this ribosomal RNA (408 nucleotides) under uncultured bacterium. Its description in RNAcentral is "bacterial SSU rRNA". It matches the Rfam family "Bacterial small subunit ribosomal RNA", at positions 354 to 776 of the family's 1533-position model. The record is from RNAcentral.
GUGGGGAAUAUUGGGCAAUGGGGGAAACCCUGACCCAGCAACGCCGCGUGAGGGAAGAAGGCUUUCGAGUUGUAAACCUCUGUCCUAUGGGAAGAAGAAAGUGACUGUACCAUAGGAGGAAGCUCCGGCUAACUACGUGCCAGCAGCCGCGGUAAUACGUAGGGAGCAAGCGUUGUCCGGAAUUACUGGGCGUAAAGGGUGCGUAGGCGGCGCAGUUAGUCAGAAGUGAAAUAUCGGGGCUUAACCCCGGGGCUGCUUCUGAUACUGCUGUGCUCGAGUGCAGGAGAGGUAAGUGGAAUUCCUAGUGUAGCGGUGAAAUGCGUAGAUAUUAGGAGGAACACCAGUGGCGAAGGCGACUUACUGGACUGUAACUGACGCUGAGGCACGAAAGCGUGGGUAGCAAACAGG